Ribosomal RNA from Danio rerio (zebrafish), 118 nucleotides. NCBI's taxonomy places the organism in Eukaryota, Metazoa, Chordata, Actinopteri, Cypriniformes, Danionidae. The record is from Ensembl.
CAUUACAGCCAUAUCACCCUGCAGCCCAAGACUGGUUACUCACUGAAGCUAAGCAGGACUGAGCCUGGUCUGUACCUGGAUGAGAGACCACAUUUGAAAACUAUGUUGCUGUUAGUGA